CGGGGAGCCCGGGGGCCGCGCCGGGGGUGCCAGGUUCCCGCACACUGGAGUGGCGGCGCCUCCCCGUGGUGUCCCCGAGCCUGGGUCCUUUUUGGGACUGGCUCUGGCACUCCCAGGCACUCAGUCCAGUAGAGAAAUCCAGCAGGAGGCUUCCAGGUCGGACUCCUCCGAGGAGUAAGGAGAGGGAAGGGGCCUCACAAACACACCCAGAGCCCCCAGUGCACAGUUUCAGAUUCAAAUCCUGGCUCCACUGCUUACUACUCUCAAGAUGGGAGUCGUUUCUGAGACUGUUUCUUUCUGUAAAAUGAAGAGAAGGAACUUCAUUAUGGCUGUGGUGAGGAUUAGAAAUGUGACCACGCUUGCGAAGUGCCGGGGAAGUGCCGGGGAAGUGCCG
Molecule: long non-coding RNA, 394 nt
Filed under: Rhinopithecus roxellana (golden snub-nosed monkey)
Lineage: Eukaryota; Metazoa; Chordata; Mammalia; Primates; Cercopithecidae
Description: lncRNA (ENSRROG00000046023.1)
Source: RNAcentral